AUUAACGAGCACACACGUACGAAGGGAGUUCGGCGUUUCUAAACGACGUAUGACGCAUGUCGAACGGGUUAUUGGCUUUCGGGCAUUGGAGCGGGAAGUGCGGAGAAUUCGUGGCGGCGCUAAAAGGAGCACGUAAGGCGAGGUAAGCAGCCGAGAACCUGGGAUGAGGAUCUUUUAAGCACCAUGUCGCUAUAUUUAGGGCUCAUCCUUAUCUUCGACGACCCCUUCUAACCGCAGUUUUGAAUUGCGGCGCGCGCACCGUCGCUAACCGCCGGUCCACAUCGCUGGUGAUUUCACGAUGGGGUCGAAGGAAGGGGUUGCUCGUACGACAGAGACAGGUAUACGGGACUGAAGGAUGACAAGUUAUAGGGAAGCAGGAUAGAGGACAGGUGAACGCGGGGAGGUCGCGAGAAUGGACGAAGAUCGAGACAUCGAGACGGAGGACGAACGGACGAAAAGGACGAAAGGGGGAGGGCGGAGGGAGAAGGAUCGUCGGGCGAACGCCGGAGAAGAAGCGAACGCGACACGAAACAUCGGGGGUAGAAGAAAGCCGACAGAGUGAAAUAAAGACAUAACGAGUUGGUGAAAAAGAGCAAGAACAAAGGAUAAUGGGGAAGGAAGGGAAGGAGGAAAGAGUGGAAGAGAAGCGAAGGGUGGGGUAGAGAGAAAGAGAGAUUAGCUGGUAGGGGUAGGUAACCCAGCAAGUGGCCAGAGGUGAGAGAGUAGGAUAGUCGGUGGUAUAGAGAGACAUGGGGGAUGAAGCUGCUCAUGGAGGAAAGGGUAUAAUGAAGCUGCGCGGGAGAGGUGGACGCUGGAGAGAGGUCGAUGAAGAGAAGGGGUGAAGAACGGGCCGUAGAACGGAAAGAGAGGUUGGCAAUGCGAGAACCAGCCGGAAGGAGAAAGAGGGUGAACGGUAGGGGUUGAGAGAGGGAAACGGAGGAGUAUGUGACGCUCAGAAUUCUGGUGGGAGCGCCAACCGGGGUGGGACAGACGAGUGGCGCGAAGAGAGAGGGGUGUAAAGAGGGGUUUGAACGAAGGGACAGAGCCAUAAGAGGGUUGAUGGUGGCCCGGGUUGGCCUCAGUAGCACAGUCGCGCGCCAAACUCUCGAAGGAAAGCACGUACUCGGUUCAACGCGCUUCCGCACCUACUAUCUUCCAGCCAGAUUUUUUCCCCCGUUCCCUCACUCUCACCACCUACGCAUACUUUACCCUGCUCAUCUUCCGCUUAACCUUUCAAAGGCAUCUCACGAUCCAGCAAACCGCCAGUAACUUAUUCACCACCGAUUUCUGGUCCAAUCCACGCGCGAUACUUUAGCCUGUGACUGCCGAUAAACCGAUGAGACCGAUCGAAGAUCAACCAAACGACGACGUCUGCCGACCAAUUGCUCGCCGAUCAAAACGAAUAACGCCGGGGGAUCAACGAAUACGACUACCAGGUGUUGGAGUAUCUCGAAGGGGAAGCCAGAAAUCGGGUCAGAUCGAUUCGUGCCCUCAGAGAUCAGACGAAACAGCGUGUUGCGUGAAACUCGAUGAUACCGCCUUACGCCCACGGCUCUUUGCUCAUCCAAUAAUUGCGAUACGCUUGGCAAUCAGCCGCAAGACAAACUGAAACUUGCGACGAGACACGAGUUGACGUCGAUACGUGUUCAUGCGUGCCGCGGGAAACAAUCGUCGAACUUGAGACAUCUAUAUGGGAAUACCCAAGGAACUUUAAUUUAUAUCAAGACUAUCGAUUAGAAUAUUCGAUUUCGAAAUUAUUUACGAUAUUCGUGAUCUAAGAAUAAUUAAUAAUUUAUAUCAUCUUAAUUCUACCGUAAGAAAUAAUAUUUAACGUGUAAAUCGAAAGAAAUAUCGUCCGUUUCCAUUUACGUAACGUGCCUGUUCCAUGGUUGACUCGCACCACUGCGACCAGUUUAAUCACGGGGUCGACGUCUCACGGUAUGUCAGGACAGUGGAAACGCAAACUCCCGCCGAGGAGACGGUCAGGACGUAUCUCUUUGCCGCGAACGAAACGCAUCAGGAUAUCUAAAUUCAUUACCGGUUGUUUCGCGAAGUUUAAUUAAAUAAGAAACUUGGAAGGAUCUUUUGUUCGGCCGGCGACGAGAGAGAAACAGAGGAGGAAGGUAACAACGAGGAAAUGUUGAACGAAGCUGGAAGAAGAAUAAGAAUGACAAAGAAGAAGAAGAAGUAGAAGAAGAAGAAGAAGAAGAAGAAGGAAAAGAAGAAGAGGAAAAUUGAAGGAGAGCGUGGGAAGAUGGAUGCCAGGAUAAUCGACAAAGUAGAAAUUGUUCGUCGAUCGUUCAACGCGAAAGAUUAACGCGUUGUUAUAUGGGAUAUUUAUGCCAUGUGCACAUAUUAUUUCCUUUUUCUUUUACGCUGCUGUUGCGUAGCUAUCGAUCGAUAAGAACUUCAGCCGCAAGCGGUUUCCGUAACGUAACGGAUACAUAAACAUGCAUAGUUAUGCGAGGAAUUCAAAUAAACGUUCGACGCUGGCAAUCUGGAAAAAAGCACGCGCUCCUUUUCCACGCCCAUAUACCAUCGGGGAUCGCAAACUUUCACAAUUAGCACAACGUAAUUUCGAAGCGGGCCCUUGCACGCGCUUUCGUCCACUUAUUCAAGGCAUUGUUACCAUGUUCUUCCUUUGCUUUACCAGCGACACUGCAAUUUCUCGAAUUGCAAAAAUCAUGUUACCCGCGGCUAACUUAUUAAAACGUUUCCGUCAGCGAACUCGGUUAAUAACGACCAGCGGCUGCGCGAGCAAAUAAAAUUCUUGACGAAUAGAAAAA
Molecule: long non-coding RNA, 2786 nt
Organism: Bombus terrestris (buff-tailed bumblebee)
Lineage: Eukaryota; Metazoa; Arthropoda; Insecta; Hymenoptera; Apidae
Exons: 2
Source: RefSeq, a predicted model, not a curated record